RNAcentral lists this ribosomal RNA (253 nucleotides) under uncultured bacterium. RNAcentral describes it as "partial 16S ribosomal RNA". It matches the Rfam family "Bacterial small subunit ribosomal RNA", at positions 524 to 776 of the family's 1533-position model. The record is from RNAcentral.
UACGUAGGGUGCGAGCGUUAAUCGGAAUUACUGGGCGUAAAGCGCGCGUAGGCGGCUUUGCAAGUCGGGUGUGAAAUCCCCAGGCUUAACCUGGGAACUGCAUUCGAGACUGCAUUGCUAGAGUAUGGGAGAGGGAAGUGGAAUUUCCGGUGUAGCGGUGAAAUGCGUAGAUAUCGGAAGGAACAUCAGUGGCGAAAGCGACUUCCUGGACCAAUACUGACGCUCAGGUGCGAAAGCGUGGGGAGCAAACAGG